UUGACGGGACCCGCACAAGCAGCGGAGCGUGUGGUUUAAUUCGUUGCUACACGAAGAACCUUACCUGGGUUUGACAUAUAGGUUGUAGGGAACUGAAAGGGACCGACCCUUCGGGGAGCCUAUACAGGUGUUGCAUGGCUGUCGUCAGCUCGUGUCGUGAGAUGUUCGGUUAAGUCCGCUAACGAGCGCAACCCUCGUCGUAUGUUAUAUGUGUCAUACGAGACUGCCGGUAAAAAGCCGGAGGAAGGCGAGGAUGAUGUCAAGUCAGCAUGACCUUUAUAUCCAGGGCUACACACACGCUACAAUGGUCUGUACAAUGGGUAGCCAAGCCGCGAGGCGGAGCCAAUCCUGAAAGCAGGCCUCAGUUCAGAUUGCAGUCUGCAACUCGACUGCAUGAAGCCGGAGUUGCUAGUAACCGCAGGUCAGCAAUACUGCGGUGAAUACGUUCCCGGGUCUU
RNAcentral lists this ribosomal RNA (457 nucleotides) under uncultured Anaerolineaceae bacterium. RNAcentral's name for it is "bacterial SSU rRNA". It matches the Rfam family "Bacterial small subunit ribosomal RNA", at positions 910 to 1382 of the family's 1533-position model. The record is from RNAcentral. Lineage: Bacteria; Bacillati; Chloroflexota; Anaerolineae; Anaerolineales; Anaerolineaceae.